GACGAACGCUGGCGGCGUGCUUAACACAUGCAAGUCGAACGGAAAGGCCCUGCUUUUGUGGGGUGCUCGAGUGGCGAACGGGUGAGUAACACGUGAGUAACCUGCCCUUGACUUUGGGAUAACUUCAGGAAACUGGGGCUAAUACCGGAUAGGAGCUCCUGCUGCAUGGUGGGGGUUGGAAAGUUUCGGCGGUUGGGGAUGGACUCGCGGCUUAUCAGCUUGUUGGUUGGGUAGUUGCUUACCAAGGCUUUGACGGGUAGCCGGCCUGAGAGGGUGACCGGCCACAUUGGGACUGAGAUACGGCCCAGACUCCUACGGGAGGCAGCAGUGGGGAAUAUUGCACAAUGGGCGGAAGCCUGAUGCAGCAACGCCGCGUGCGGGAUGACGGCCUUCGGGUUGUAAACCGCUUUCGCCUGUGACGAAGCGUGAGUGACGGUAAUGGGUAAAGAAGCACCGGCUAACUACGUG
RNAcentral lists this ribosomal RNA (468 nucleotides) under uncultured bacterium. RNAcentral's name for it is "partial 16S ribosomal RNA". It matches the Rfam family "Bacterial small subunit ribosomal RNA", at positions 28 to 507 of the family's 1533-position model. The record is from RNAcentral.